GUGAACGCUGGCGGUAGGCCUAACCCCUGCCAGUCGCACGGCAGCACAGUAAGAGCUUGCUCUUACGGGUGGCGCGUGGCGGACGGGUGAGGAAUACAUCGGAAUCUACUUUUUCGUGGGGGAUAACGUAGGGAAACUUACGCUAAUACCGCAUACGACCUACGGGUGAAAGCAGGGGAUCUUCGGACCUUGCGCGAUUGAAUGAGCCGAUGUCGGAUUAGCUAGUUGGCGGGGUAAAGGCCCACCAAGGCGACGAUCCGUAGCUGGUCUGAGAGGAUGAUCAGCCACACUGGAACUGAGACACGGUCCAGACUCCUACGGGAGGCAGCAGUGGGGAAUAUUGGACAAUGGGCGCAAGCCUGAUCCAGCCAUACCGCGUGGGUGAAGAAGGCCUUCGGGUUGUAAAGCCCUUUUGUUGGGAAAGAAAAGCAGCAGGUUAAUACCCCGCUGUUCUGACGGUACCCAAAGAAUAAGCACCGGCUAACUUCGUG
RNAcentral lists this ribosomal RNA (491 nucleotides) under uncultured bacterium. RNAcentral's name for it is "partial 16S ribosomal RNA". It matches the Rfam family "Bacterial small subunit ribosomal RNA", at positions 29 to 507 of the family's 1533-position model. The record is from RNAcentral.